This 24-nucleotide non-coding RNA is filed under the name Arabidopsis thaliana (thale cress). The record is from RNAcentral. Lineage: Eukaryota; Viridiplantae; Streptophyta; Magnoliopsida; Brassicales; Brassicaceae.
CGGUCCAGAACCUCCUGGUAUUCA